UACGUAGGGUGCAAGCGUUAAUCGGAAUUACUGGGCGUAAAGCGUGCGCAGGCGGCUAUGCAAGACAGAUGUGAAAUCCCCGGGCUCAACCUGGGAACUGCAUUUGUGACUGCAUGGCUAGAGUACGGUAGAGGGGGAUGGAAUUCCGCGUGUAGCAGUGAAAUGCGUAGAUAUCGGGAGGAACACCAGUGGCGAAGGCGACUACCUGGCCUGUUCUUGACGCUGAGGCGCGAAAGCUAGGGGAGCAAACGGG
RNAcentral lists this ribosomal RNA (253 nucleotides) under uncultured bacterium. RNAcentral's name for it is "partial 16S ribosomal RNA". It matches the Rfam family "Bacterial small subunit ribosomal RNA", at positions 524 to 776 of the family's 1533-position model. The record is from RNAcentral.